GGGGGUGUAGCUCCAAUUGGCAGAGCAGCGGAUUCCAAAUCCGCGUGUUGGGAGUUCGAAUCUCUCCACCCCCC
This 74-nucleotide transfer RNA is filed under the name Vibrio sp. JCM 18904. RNAcentral's name for it is "tRNA-Trp". It matches the Rfam family "tRNA". From Rfam's summary of the family: Transfer RNA (tRNA) molecules are approximately 80 nucleotides in length. Their secondary structure includes four short double-helical elements and three loops (D, anti-codon, and T loops). Lineage: Bacteria; Pseudomonadati; Pseudomonadota; Gammaproteobacteria; Vibrionales; Vibrionaceae. RNAcentral also lists the same sequence under 1 other name. The record is from RNAcentral.